Molecule: RNA transcript, 3097 nt
Organism: Zingiber officinale
Lineage: Eukaryota; Viridiplantae; Streptophyta; Magnoliopsida; Zingiberales; Zingiberaceae
Gene name: NADPH-dependent diflavin oxidoreductase 1-like
Exons: 13
Source: RefSeq, a predicted model, not a curated record
UUUUUGUUCGUCGCCCUCUCCUUCUCAGUGGCCUUCCCUCAUUUCGCUCCGGCGGCUACGAGGGGCGACGACUCUACUUCUGCGACGAAUUCGGUGACGUAGAGAGGUGCUGCAGCGGUCGGGUGUUGCCAGCAUCAGCCUCGAAGGACUUCACGGGCACAGCGACCGACGGUUUCUAGCGGGGCACCGGCAGUGAGAAGCUGCGGCAUCCACCACCGGAAACCUUGCUCGGUGGAAGUUGGAUCCGCUCCGGUAUUGUAUAUUUUUAUAGGAAACGAGGGGUUUCUAAUUGAGAACCAGAGAAAAAGGAUGACCAGUUCGUAGCGGUCGACCUCCAUAUCUGCAUUCCAGUUUAUACCCUUAGUUGAACGGCGCGCUAGAAUAUUUCCUAAUUUUCUAUGAAUCUCCUCGUUUUCCCUAAUCACACAAUUUGUAUGCAUCGUGCUGAUUUACUGUCGUAGCAUUGCCACCUUUUACCUUGCCAAAAGAAUGGAUGGGGAGUCAGAGCUGAAACCGAGCCGUCUAUUGGUUCUAUAUGCUUCCCAAACCGGGAACGCUAUGGAUGCUGCUGAGCGGGUUGGAAGGGAGGCAGAGCGUGGUGGCUGUCCUUCUGUCCAAGUCAUCUCCAUUGAUCGGUUUGAUAUGAAUUUCUUGCCACAUGAAAAUAUUGCAGUUUUUGUUGUUUCCACCACAGGGCAGGGUGAUGUGCCAGAUUCAAUGAAGGUUUUCUGGAAGUUUCUUUUGCAAAGGCGUCUCAGCAAUAAGUGGUUGGAAGGACUUCAAUACGCUGUUUUUGGGCUGGGUGAUUCAGGGUACCAGAAAUAUAAUUUUACUGCAAAGAAAUUGGAUAAAAGGCUUUCCGAUCUCGGAGCAAUGCUUUUAAUUGAAAAAGGUCUAGGGGAUGAUCAGCACCCUUCUGGAUAUGAAGGUGCCUUAGAUCCUUGGUUGUCAUCUUUUUGGAAGAAGCUGAAUAUGAUGCAUCCCAACAUUUUGCCUAGGAUAUCGGAUAUUAUGGACCCUUCUAUGAGAAGUUUGGAGCAAGCAAAAUUUGAGGUCACAUACCAUUUGUCGGACAACAUCCAACUGGAGCUUUCAAAUGUAUCUGACUUGAAGGAGACUGAGAAGGUGAUUGAGAGUGCACUUUCAAUGUCGCCAGUCCAGUUUUACUAUCAGAACAAGAAGCCACAUUAUUUCUUGAAGAUGAUAACUAAUCAUCAACUAACAAAACCAAGCCAGAGUAGAGAUGUACGCCACUUUGAGUUUGAAAGUUCAUUGAAUUCCAUUAACUAUCAAGUGGGUGAUGUUCUUGAGAUUCUCCCAAGUCAAAAUCCUGCAGCUGUUGAUGCAUUUAUUAGGCGCUGUAACUUGGAUCCAAACUGUUACAUCACUGUCAAUCCCAGAGAUGCAGCCAAGCCAUCCAUUGGUAGGCACACAAUGAACAUGGUGCACCCUGUUAAACUGAAGAGUUUUGUGGAGCUCACCAUGGAUGUGGCAUCAGCUUCUCCUCGGCGUUACUUCUUUGAGGUGAUGAGCUUUUAUGCUACAGCUGACCACGAAAAGGAAAAACUUCAGUAUUUUGCCUCUCCAGAAGGAAGGGAUGAUUUGUAUGAGUACAAUCAGAAGGAGCGGAGAUCUGUUCUUGAGGUACUGGAGGAUUUUCCAUCUGUGGAGAUGCCAUUCGAAUGGUUGGUGCAAUUGGUCCCUCCGCUAAAAACAAGAGCAUUUUCCAUCUCCUCAUCUCCUUCUGUUCAUCCAAAUCAAGUGCACCUAACUGUGAGCAUUGUUUCAUGGAUCACUCCGUUCAAGAGAACGCGAUAUGGUCUCUGUUCAUCAUGGCUUGCUGGACUUGAUCCAUGCGAAACCAACGAAUUUCACAUUCCCGCGUGGGUCACUCGAGGCGCUUUGCUACGGCCUCUACCAUCAGUACCACUCAUUCUUGUGGGACCAGGAACAGGAUGUGCACCAUUCAGGGCAUUUGUGGAGGAACGUGCUCAACAGAAAUUAACCAGAUCAGUAUCUCCUGUUCUCUUCUUCUUUGGGUGUAGGAAUGAAGAAAAUGAUUUUUUAUAUGAGAAUUUCUGGUUGUCUCAUGCCCAAAAUGACGGGGUGUUAUCCACAAACAAGGGUGGCGGUUUUUUUGUUGCAUUCUCUAGAGAUCAGCCGCAAAAGGUAUAUGUGCAGCAUAAGAUGAAGGAAGAGAGUAAAAGAAUUUGGAAUCUUCUUAGUGCAGGUGCUGCAAUAUAUAUUGCAGGGUCCUCCACGAAGAUGCCAGCAGAUGUGACUUCGACUCUGGAAGAAAUUAUUAUGGAAGAAAGUGGGAUCUCUAAAGAAUCAGCUGCAAAAUGGCUCCGUCUACUAGAGAAGGCUGGUAGAUUUUUCAUUGAGGCAUGGUCUUGAACUAUGAGACUUUUGGAUCGAUGCAGGAAAUGAAUAUUAUGGUUUGAUCCAACAUCUAUUUGAUCCGAUCAAGGUGCACGCCACUGAGAUGAGCACGGUCGAUUAGUAUUUCUCACAGUACUCACAUCGGUAAUUGAAAUAAUACAGUUUCUUUCUGAUAGUCAUUCAGUAAUAUGGGAAUCAACUUUUAGCAACACUUUUGUGCAAGAGACACUACAGAUAUUAUCCAACACUCGGGUUUAUUUGGUGUUGCUUUGUCAUCAGCUGUGUAGAUCAUCAUGACUUCAGUAUGCAUUCUGUAGGAGUAAACAUGGUUCUGAUGAACUUCUGCAUUCUUGAUGUUCGAUCAUGCUGAGGCAGAUCAUAUUCUCAGUCAAGACAAUAUGCUUAGAGAUCGUCAGACAUUUUCGUAAAGCUUGCCUACAUUAUCGGAAAGAAUGAUUGAAAAAUGAGCAAACUUUUGGUCCAACUGGGAACUUGAUCUUUGCAGUCGAACAAUGGCACAUCUGCUUGUUCGCAGCAACUAAACCAGUCUGUAAGGGUCAUUCUUCAAUCAAAUGGUUCAGUUAGAAUGCUACUGUUCCAUGAUUGGCAGUCUAAUAAGUUGCACAAAACAUUUAGCAAACUUUUUAUUUUGUAACAUACCAUUGAACUUUAGAUGGGGAACCAAACUUAAAUCGAUAAGCUGUUAACAAUCCAA